AUGGUUAGAUGAAAAAUAUACUUUCUUUGCUUUAUAUGGAAAAAUUAAUUUUUUAUUUAAAAAGAUAAAAUGUUUUUAUAGGACGAGAAGACCCUAUAGAACUUUACUUUUAAUAUAUAUAUAUUUUAUAUAUUUUUAUAAAUAUAUAUAUUGAUAUUAGUUGUGUUGGGGUGAUGGAAAAAUUUAUAUAACUUUUUCUAUUUUUUGCAUUUAUUUAUGUUUUUUUGAUCCUUUAUUAUGGAUAAUAAGAUUAAGUUACCUUAGGGAUAACAGCGUUAUUUUUUUGGAGAGUUCUUAUCAAUAAAAAAGUUUGCGACCUCGAUGUUGGAUUAAAAUAAGUUGCAGGGGUAUAAUAUUGUU
RNAcentral lists this ribosomal RNA (360 nucleotides) under Lincolnia sp. UNSW ENT 00008145. RNAcentral's name for it is "partial large subunit ribosomal RNA". The record is from RNAcentral. Lineage: Eukaryota; Metazoa; Arthropoda; Insecta; Hemiptera; Miridae.